AUUGAACGCUGGCGGCAGGCCUAACACAUGCAAGUCGAGCGGAUGAAGGGAGCUUGCUCCUGGAUUCAGCGGCGGACGGGUGAGUAAUGCCUAGGAAUCUGCCUGGUAGUGGGGGCUAACGUCCGGACACGGGCGCUAAUACCGCAUACGUCCUGUGGGAGAAAGUGGGGGUUCUUCGGCCCUCACGCUAUCCGAUGAGCCUAGGUCGGGUUAGCUAGUUGGCGGGGUAACGGCCUGCCAAGGCGACGAUCCGUAGCUGGUCUGAGAGGAUGGUCAGUCACACUGGAACGGAGACACGGUCCAGACUCCUACGGGAGGCAGCAGUGGGGAAUAUUGGACAGUGGGCGAAAGCCUAGUCCAGUGAAGCCGCGUGGGGGAAGAAGGUCUUCGGAUUGUAAAGCACUUUUAGUUGGGAAGAAGGGCAGUAAGGUAAUACCUUGCUGUUUUGACGUUACCAACAGAAUAAGCACCGGCUAACUUCGUG
This 484-nucleotide ribosomal RNA is filed under the name uncultured bacterium. RNAcentral describes it as "partial 16S ribosomal RNA". It matches the Rfam family "Bacterial small subunit ribosomal RNA", at positions 30 to 507 of the family's 1533-position model. The record is from RNAcentral.